Molecule: ribosomal RNA, 270 nt
Filed under: Providencia rettgeri
Lineage: Bacteria; Pseudomonadati; Pseudomonadota; Gammaproteobacteria; Enterobacterales; Morganellaceae
Description: partial 23S ribosomal RNA
Rfam family: Bacterial large subunit ribosomal RNA
Source: RNAcentral
GGUUAAGCGACUAAGCGUACACGGUGGAUGCCUAGGCAAUCAGAGGCGAUGAAGGACGUGCUAAUCUGCGAUAAGCGUCGGUAAGGUGAUAUGAACCGUUACAACCGACGAUUUCCGAAUGGGGAAACCCAGUGCAAUUCGUUGCACUAUCGUUUGAUGAAUACAUAGUCAAACGAAGCGAACCGGGGGAACUGAAACAUCUCAGUACCCCGAGGAAAAGAAAUCAACCGAGAUUCCCCUAGUAGCGGCGAGCGAACGGGGAGCAGCCCA